RNAcentral lists this ribosomal RNA (1291 nucleotides) under uncultured bacterium. RNAcentral's name for it is "bacterial SSU rRNA". It matches the Rfam family "Bacterial small subunit ribosomal RNA", at positions 62 to 1400 of the family's 1533-position model. The record is from RNAcentral.
UCGAACGAAGUAGCAAUACUUAGUGGCAGACGGGUGAGUAACAUGUGGGUAUCUGCCCUUUGGCCUGGAAUAACACGAGGAAACUUGUGCUAAUACCGGAUAAGUCUUUACGGAGAAAGCUUUAUGCACCAUUGGAUGAGCCCGCACUUGAUUAGUUUGUUGGUGGGGUAAUGGCCUACCAAGACUGUGAUCAAUAGCUGAUUUGAGAGGAUGAUCAGCCACAUUGGGACUGAGACACGGCCCAAACUCCUACGGGAGGCAGCAGUGGGGAAUCUUGCACAAUGGAGGAAACUCUGAUGCAGCGAUGCCGCGUGAGUGAAGAAGGCCCUUGGGUUGUAAAGCUCUUUCGUCGGGGAAGAAAAUGACUGUACCCGAAUAAGAAGGUCCGGCUAACUUCGUGCCAGCAGCCGCGGUAAUACGAAGGGACCUAGCGUAGUUCGGAAUUACUGGGCUUAAAGAGUUCGUAGGUGGUUGAAAAAGUUAGUGGUGAAAUCCCAGAGCUUAACUCUGGAACUGCCAUUAAAACUUUUCAGCUAGAGUAUGAUAGAGGAAAGCAGAAUUUCUAGUGUAGAGGUGAAAUUCGUAGAUAUUAGAAAGAAUACCAAUUGCGAAGGCAGCUUUCUGGAUCAUUACUGACACUGAGGAACGAAAGCAUGGGUAGCGAAGAGGAUUAGAUACCCUCGUAGUCCAUGCCGUAAACGAUGUGUGUUAGACGUUGGAAAUUUAUUUUCAGUGUCGCAGCGAAAGCGAUAAACACACCGCCUGGGGAGUACGACCGCAAGGUUAAAACUCAAAUGAAUUGACGGGGACCCGCACAAGUAGUGGAGCAUGUGGUUUAAUUCGAAGAUACGCGCAGAACCUUACCAACACUUGACAUGUUCGUCGCGACUCUAAGAGAUUAGAGUUUUCGGUUCGGCCGGACGAAACACAGGUGCUGCAUGGCUGUCGUCAGCUCGUGUCGUGAGAUGUUGGGUUAAGUCCCGCAACGAGCGCAACCCUCACUUUUAGUUGCCAUCAUUAAGUUGGGCACUCUGAAAGAACUGCCAGUGAUAAGCUGGAGGAAGGUGGGGAUGACGUCAAGUCCUCAUGGCCCUUACGUGUUGGGCUACACACGUGCUACAAUGGUAUCUACAACAGGAAGCAAGACUGCGAGGUCAAGCAAAUCCUUAAAAGAUACCUCAGUUCGGAUUGCACUCUGCAACUCGAGUGCAUGAAGCUGGAAUUACUAGUAAUCGUGGAUCAGCGUGCCACGGUGAAUGCGUUCCCGGGUCUUGUACACACCGCCCGUCAC